AUGGCCCUUAUUGACUUAGGACGUCUCGCUUUCUGGCGCCCAUUCGGCCCCCUUGAGGUGGCCGCUUAGGACUCCCUCCUCCAGGACAUCGCCCUUCUUCCGAUGGACAUCGAGGGUGCCCCUGAUUCCUUCACUUGGCAUCUAGAGUCCUCUGGCCGCUUCUCCACUAAGUCCUUAUACGCAGCCAUCGCACCCUCGGCAGCCCCUAAGCCAUUUAGCCUGAUCUGGGACAUUCGCUUACCUCUGAAGAUCGGGAUCUUCCUGUGGCAGUGGAUCCGUGGAUGUCUCCCCUCUGGGGUUGAGGUCCUCGAGCGUAAUGGGCCAGGAGAUGGGAUGUGCCCCCUGUGCGGCACGGUGGAGGAUGCUAACCACAUCUUCUUCUCUUGCUCCACUGCCCAGUUCCUAUGGUCCUGCUUCCGUGAGACGGUCGGUGGACAGUGGUGCAACACCAACUUCACCGACUUGCUUGCGGAGAUCCACGCCUCCUCCCCUCGCUACCGCCAUAUUUGA
Molecule: ribosomal RNA, 510 nt
Filed under: Triticum aestivum (bread wheat)
Lineage: Eukaryota; Viridiplantae; Streptophyta; Magnoliopsida; Poales; Poaceae
Description: partial small subunit ribosomal RNA
Source: RNAcentral